CCUGCGGAGGAUCAUUAUUGAAUAAACUUGGUUGGGUUGUUGCUGGCUUUCUGAGCAUGUGCACGCCUGAUCCAUCUUUAACCACCAGUGCACAUUGUGUAGAAUCUGAGAAACUCGAGGCAACUCGGUUUGAGACUUGCUGAGCGCACGCCAGCUUUUCUUGUAAUCGGAUCUACGUUUCUACAUACUCCAUAUGAAUGUAUUAGAAUGUCGUAAUUGGCUCAGUGCCUUUAAAAUAAAUACAACUUUCAACAACGGAUCUCUUGGCUCUCGCAUCGAUGAAGAACGCAGCGAAAUGCGAUAAGUAAUGUGAAUUGCAGAAUUCAGUGAAUCAUCGAAUCUUUGAACGCACCUUGCGCUCUUUGGUAUUCCGAAGAGCAUGCCUGUUUGAGUGUCAUGAAAUUCUCAAACUUUCUAGCUUUUUCAAAGUUAGCUGGUUUUGGAUAUUGGAGGUUGCUGGAUCCCUGGGAAUCAGCUCUUCUUAAAUAUAUUAGCAGUCCUUACUGGCCGUCAUUAGUAUGAUAAUUAUCUAUACUAUUGAUGAUCAGUUUCCUAGUGGAGAGGUGCUGCUUUCUAAUCGUCUUUGAGACAACUUGACAACUUUGACCUCAAAUCAGGUAGGACU
RNAcentral lists this ribosomal RNA (625 nucleotides) under uncultured Basidiomycota. RNAcentral describes it as "eukaryotic LSU rRNA". The stretch from base 244 to 397 matches the Rfam family "5.8S ribosomal RNA". The record is from RNAcentral. Lineage: Eukaryota; Fungi; Basidiomycota.